Molecule: ribosomal RNA, 460 nt
Filed under: uncultured bacterium
Lineage: Bacteria
Description: partial 16S ribosomal RNA
Rfam family: Bacterial small subunit ribosomal RNA
Source: RNAcentral
CCUACGGGUGGCAGCAGUGAGGAAUAUUGGUCAAUGGGCGAGAGCCUGAACCAGCCAAGUCGCGUGAAUGAUGAAGGAUCUAUGGUUUGUAAACUUCUUUUAUAUGGGAGUAAAGUGAGGAACGUGUUCCUUUUUGUAUGUACAAUAUGAAUAAGCAUCGGCUAACACCGUGCCAGCAGCCGCGGUAAUACGGAGGAUGCGAGCGUUAUCCGGAUUGAUUGGGUUUAAAGGGUGCGUAGGCGGUUAAAUAAGUCAGCGGUGAAAGGUUGUGGCUCAACCAUAAAAUUGCCGUGGAAACUGGGUGACUUGAGUAUAUUUGAGGUAGGCGGAAUGCGUGGUGUAGCGGUGAAAUGCAUAGAUAUCACGCAGAACUCCGAUUGCGAAGGCAGCUUACUAAACUAUAACUGACACUGAAGCACGAAAGCGUGGGGAUCAAACAGGAUUAGAUACCCGUGUAGUC